GAUGAACGCUGGCGGUCUGCUUAACACAUGCAAGUCGAACGGGCUCUUUCGGGAGCUAGUGGCGGACGGGUGAGUAACGCGGGAGAAUCUGCCCUUUGGAGGGGGAUCACGGUUGGAAACGACCGCUAAUACCCCAUGUGCCGAGAGGGAAAAAGUAAUUCGCCAAGGGAUGGGCUCGCGUCGGGUUAGCUAGUUGGUGGGGUAAGAGCCCACCAAGGCGACGAUCCGUAGCUGGUCUGAGAGGAUGACCCGCCAGACUGGGACUGGGACACGGCCCAGACUCCUACGGGAGGCAGCAGUGGGGAAGUUUCCGCAAUGGGCGCAAGCCUGACGGGGCAAGACCGCGGGAGGGAAGACGGUCUGUGGAUUGUAAACCUCUUUUGACAGGGAAGACGUACUGACGGUACCUGUCGAAUCAGCCACGGCUAACUCCGUG
This 436-nucleotide ribosomal RNA is filed under the name uncultured bacterium. RNAcentral describes it as "partial 16S ribosomal RNA". It matches the Rfam family "Bacterial small subunit ribosomal RNA", at positions 28 to 507 of the family's 1533-position model. The record is from RNAcentral.